RNAcentral lists this ribosomal RNA (301 nucleotides) under uncultured Fusobacterium sp. RNAcentral's name for it is "bacterial SSU rRNA". It matches the Rfam family "Bacterial small subunit ribosomal RNA", at positions 496 to 795 of the family's 1533-position model. The record is from RNAcentral. Lineage: Bacteria; Fusobacteriati; Fusobacteriota; Fusobacteriia; Fusobacteriales; Fusobacteriaceae.
ACAAAGUCCUGGCAGGCAGUCGGAGUAAUACUGAAGAUAGAAGUGUUAUCUGUGUUUAUUGGGUUUAAAGUGGGCGUAGUGGGCCUAGUAAGUCAGUUGUAAAAUGUGGGAGCUUAACUGUUAAAACUGCUAUUUAUACUGAUGGGCUUGAUUGAGGUUGGAGUAGCUGGAAUGUGUGGUGUAGCGGUGAAAUGCAUAGAUAUCACACAGAACACCGAUCGCGAAGGCAAGUUACUAAGCCUAUACUGACGCUGAGGCACGAAAGCGUGGGGAGCAAAUAGGAUUAGAUACCCGUGUAGUC